RNAcentral lists this long non-coding RNA (250 nucleotides) under Lathyrus oleraceus (garden pea). RNAcentral's name for it is "Pisum sativum (pea) long non-coding RNA (PSAT_LNC029045)". Lineage: Eukaryota; Viridiplantae; Streptophyta; Magnoliopsida; Fabales; Fabaceae. The record is from RNAcentral.
AAAAUGAAACAUUUUUACUACUCCAAUAUGAAUACUUCAUUUCACUUUAUUCUCUACUUUUCUAAUCUCCUGAACCAUUUUCUUCUCUCUAAAGCACAAAAGCAAACCCUUCAUUUCUUCUUAAGCAAACUCCGAGAAAUCAAAGUUUCUUCGCUUUAUCAUCAAUGGCGUCCAAGAUUAAAAAUCCUAAAGAUUCCAAGAAACAAUAAUCUCUCCCUGCUGUUCACAAAAUCUUAGGUCCAAAAGUUGU